UCUAUCAACAUGGAGGAAAAAUGAGUGAAUAAUAUGUUCUCCAUUUUUCUCAUUGGUUUUCUCUUCUUAGCAUUGUUUCUUUCUCCCAAUCUUAAAUUUCAGAAAGGCUUCAGAAAUUGGUUGUGGCCCAAAACUAAGAGGAGGAACAUGUGAUUGGGUUCGAGUUGCUCAGAAGAAUUUGAAGGUCUGGUUACUUGAGUGGCGUAUCGGAGAGUCUUAGAUUGCUAAGCGGGCCGAAACCCGGUUCGUUGGAAGUCUAGAUUUUCUGGUCCGUCACAAUAAGCCACCAGCUUAACUUUUGAAUCGUCAGGUACAUCCACAAACUCAAAGAAAGCUUCAACUUCGUAAAGCCAGUCCAAUAACUCUUCAAUUUUGAAACUUCCAUUAAAAAUGAAUCCGAGCUUUUUUUAGAAGACUCAGCAGUGUAUUUUGGUUUAAAACCUUGGUAUUCCAUAAGAGAAGUUAAUGGAGCAGGAAUCUCUUCCAGCUGCACUCUUUUUGCGAAGUUUCAAUAGCAAGAAGCCUUCUUUCUGUAGGGUUUGAUUUUUUAUUUUAUUUUUGUGUAAUAUGGGUGCGGAAGAGAAAAUAGGAUCUAAGAAAGAAUAAAAAUGUAUUCUACUGUCAAAGGAUACCAACUAGUGUAGGCUGAUAAGAGAUUGAAAAGAGAAGAAUGCAAUUCUGAAAUUGCAGGGAUGAGACACAAAGAUGCGAAGAAGAUUACAAAAAACUGGACAGGCAGAUUAAGAAAAGAAAAUAACGAUUAUAUGUCUUAAUAUUAUUCAAUAAUAAUGUGUUCUGUCUUUAUACAGAUCGCCUCUUA
Long non-coding RNA from Papaver somniferum (opium poppy), 820 nucleotides. RefSeq lists it as uncharacterized. The record is from RefSeq and is a predicted model, not a curated record. NCBI's taxonomy places the organism in Eukaryota, Viridiplantae, Streptophyta, Magnoliopsida, Ranunculales, Papaveraceae. The transcript has 3 exons.